Molecule: ribosomal RNA, 250 nt
Filed under: uncultured bacterium
Lineage: Bacteria
Description: partial 16S ribosomal RNA
Rfam family: Bacterial small subunit ribosomal RNA
Source: RNAcentral
UACGUAGGGAGCAAGCGUUGUCCGGAUUUAUUGGGCGUAAAGAGCUCGUAGGCGGUUCAGUAAGUCAGGUGUGAAAGCUCUGGGCUCAACUCAGAGAAGCCACCUGAUACUGCUGUGACUAGAAUCCAGUAGGGGAGUGUGGAACUCCUGGUGUAGCGGUGAAAUGCGCAGAUAUCAGGAAGAACACCAGCGGCGAAGGCGGCACUCUGGGCUGGUAUUGACGCUGAGGAGCGAAAGUGUGGGUAGCAAA